This 64-nucleotide transfer RNA is filed under the name bovine gut metagenome. It matches the Rfam family "tRNA", at positions 7 to 64 of the family's 71-position model. From Rfam's summary of the family: Transfer RNA (tRNA) molecules are approximately 80 nucleotides in length. Their secondary structure includes four short double-helical elements and three loops (D, anti-codon, and T loops). The record is from RNAcentral.
CUUAGCUCAGCUGGUAGAGCAACUGACUCUUAAUCAGUGGGUCCCGGGUUCGAAUCCCUGAAGG